Molecule: ribosomal RNA, 429 nt
Filed under: uncultured Bilophila sp.
Lineage: Bacteria; Pseudomonadati; Thermodesulfobacteriota; Desulfovibrionia; Desulfovibrionales; Desulfovibrionaceae
Description: partial 16S ribosomal RNA
Rfam family: Bacterial small subunit ribosomal RNA
Source: RNAcentral
UGGGGAAUAUUGCGCAAUGGGCGAAAGCCUGACGCAGCGACGCCGCGUGAGGGAUGAAGGUUUUCGGAUCGUAAACCUCUGUCAGGGGGGAAGAAACACCCAUAUGUAAAUAAUGUAUGGGCUUGACGGUACCCCCAAAGGAAGCACCGGCUAACUCCGUGCCAGCAGCCGCGGUAAUACGGAGGGUGCAAGCGUUAAUCGGAAUUACUGGGCGUAAAGCGCUCGUAGGCGGCUUGGCAAGUCACAGGGUGAAAUCCCACGGCUCAACCGUGGAACAGCCCUUGAAACUGCCUGGCUAGAGUACUGGAGAGGGUGGCGGAAUUCCAGGUGUAGGAGUGAAAUCCGUAGAUAUCUGGAGGAACACCGGUGGCGAAGGCGGCCACCUGGACAGUAACUGACGCUGAGGAGCGAAAGCGUGGGUAGCAAACA